This 332-nucleotide ribosomal RNA is filed under the name uncultured Nitrospirota bacterium. RNAcentral describes it as "bacterial SSU rRNA". It matches the Rfam family "Bacterial small subunit ribosomal RNA", at positions 29 to 351 of the family's 1533-position model. The record is from RNAcentral. Lineage: Bacteria; Pseudomonadati; Nitrospirota.
AAUGAACGCUGGCGGCGCGCCUAAUACAUGCAAGUCGAGCGAGAAGACGUAGCAAUACGUUUGUAAAGCGGCGAACGGGUGAGGAAUACAUGGGUAACCUACCCUUGAGUGGGGAAUAACUAGCCGAAAGGUUAGCUAAUACCGCGUACGCUUCUUGGACUUCGGUUCAGGGAGGAAAGCGCUACCGUGGGUAGCGCGCUCUUGGAUGGGCUCAUGUCCUAUCAGCUUGUUGGUGAGGUAACGGCUCACCAAGGCUUCGACGGGUAGCUGGUCUGAGAGGACGAUCAGCCACACUGGCACUGCGACACGGGCCAGACUCCUACGGGAGGCAG